AGCAGAUUUUCAUCUCUUCCAAAGCUUCCAUGACAAGUCCUGGCCAAGACUACUGACAUUUAGAAGAGUAGCCUGAGGAAUGAAUCCCCAAGGGAGGCCUUCAGCGAUCCCCAAUGAGGCCCCUCCUAACGGGCCAUCCACAGAGGCUUUCAUUCCUCCUCCUUCAACAGUUCUUUUGCACAUCGGCUUUUCACGGAGUGCAAAAUCCCAACUCAGCUCAGAAGAGCCUGUUUCCUCGCACAUGACCACAGAAGGCUGCAUGCAGAACACCAGAGUGUCUUGAAAGAAAACAACCCCAAGUUGGAAAGAAGCCCCAAAGACUGGAUUAUCCUGGUGUGCUUGGUUCAAGUCACUGCUCACAGAGACUUAAAAGACAAAUGAAGAUGGUGCAGGCCAAGGACCCUUCUUGGCUUCCGGGCUCUGAGUCUGUACACUCAGGUACCAAAUCCUUUGGGGUUAGUGAAUAAUUGCAAGUGGUUGUUUUUUUCCAAUUGCUGUGGGAAAAAAAAUGUACAGUGUAUAAUAAACUAUUCUGCUAAAAUCUCAAAGAAUUCAGAAAUCAA
This is a long non-coding RNA of Suricata suricatta (meerkat), 563 nucleotides long. RefSeq lists it as uncharacterized. The record is from RefSeq and is a predicted model, not a curated record. The transcript has 3 exons. Lineage: Eukaryota; Metazoa; Chordata; Mammalia; Carnivora; Herpestidae.